AGAGUUUGAUCCUGGCUCAGAACGAACGCUGGCGGCGUGCUUAACACAUGCAAGUCGAACGGACUUAGGGGCUUGCUCCUAAGUUAGUGGCGCACGGGUGAGUAACGCGUGGAUAAUCUGCCCGAUGAUCUGGGAUAACAUCUCGAAAGGGGUGCUAAUACCGGAUAAGCCCACGGGCUCUUCGGAGCUUGCGGGAAAAGAGGGGGACCUUCGGGCCUCUUGUCAUCGGAUGAGUCCGCGUACCAUUAGCUAGUUGGUGGGGUAAAGGCCCACCAAGGCGACGAUGGUUAGCUGGUCUGAGAGGAUGAUCAGCCACACUGGAACUGAGACACGGUCCAGACUCCUACGGGAGGCAGCAGUGGGGAAUUUUGCGCAAUGGGGGAAACCCUGACGCAGCAACGCCGCGUGAGUGAUGAAGGCCUUCGGGUCGUAAAGCUCUGUCUAGAGGAAAGAAGUGUGAGGUGGUUAAUACCCACUUUACUUGACGGUACCUCUGAAGGAAGCACCGGCUAACUCCGUGCCAGCAGCCGCGGUAAUACGGAGGGUGCGAGCGUUGUUCGGAUUUAUUGGGCGUAAAGCGCGUGUAGGCGGUUUCUUAAGUCUGAUGUGAAAGCCCCGGGCUCAACCUGGGAAGUGCAUUGGAUACUGGGAGACUUGAGUACGGGAGAGGGUAGUGGAAUUCCUAGUGUAGGAGUGAAAUCCGUAGAUAUUAGGAGGAACACCGGUGGCGAAGGCGGCUGCCUGGACCGAUACUGACGCUGAGACGCGAAAGCGUGGGGAGCAAACAGGAUUAGAUACCCUGGUAGUCCACGCCGUAAACGAUGAGAACUAGGUGUUGCGGGUAUUGACCCCUGCAGUGCCGCAGCUAACGCAUUAAGUUCUCCGCCUGGGAAGUACGGUCGCAAGACUAAAACUCAAAGGAAUUGAUGG
RNAcentral lists this ribosomal RNA (930 nucleotides) under uncultured bacterium. Its description in RNAcentral is "bacterial SSU rRNA". It matches the Rfam family "Bacterial small subunit ribosomal RNA", at positions 8 to 916 of the family's 1533-position model. The record is from RNAcentral.